Molecule: long non-coding RNA, 1275 nt
Organism: Thalassophryne amazonica
Lineage: Eukaryota; Metazoa; Chordata; Actinopteri; Batrachoidiformes; Batrachoididae
Exons: 3
Source: RefSeq, a predicted model, not a curated record
CACUUAAACAUUUUGUUCCACAGUGUUGCUCAACAUCAUCAAUUUGGAGAACGUUUAACUCAGAGGCUUUAAAAAAUGAACACAGCUGAGUGCUCUUAUUUGUUCGAUUCAUUACAGCCUCAUGAAUUAUCUUGUGCCUGUUGAUCACAGAAUGUAAUCCUACUGUCUCUUCCCAAAGAUAAAACAAUUGAGGCAUUUGAGGCAUUCCUCUGAUACUAAAUUACAUAAACAAAACUGAUUUGUCUUGGUGAAAUGAUAAAAGUGUGAACAUGGCCUGUAACUCGAUGACUAAGAAUUCUAAUCAAUAUGAAAUACAAAAAACAUCCAACAUACAGUGACAGAAAUCUGUUGGAACAGAGCAUUCUUAUGACAUUUACGAUACAGAUCACCCUUCUCUCUCUCUGUUCUUCUAUUAAAUUUUAGCAUGAAGAUGCUAUAAAUGAAAUUUUAAACAUUAAUAUAGCAGCUCACAAUUAUUUUCCUUCAGUGACGUGUAAAGGCGUUAUGAGCAGAGAAUGAAGCAACGCUCCAUCUGUGUGUGCUACAAUCUGAGCUUUUCUGUUUCUUUUUUACAUAACUGAAUGGGCUGAACAUGCAAUUUUGGUGCAUGCAAGUCCAACCUUGUGAAACUAUUGUCCCUCCCCAUGUUCAUAAAGAGACAGCAAGGAGUGACAGCCUACUGUGCAUUUGGAUUGGGGGAAAUAGCAACUUUCCAGAAACUUUUUUGAAAACAGAGUUCAGAACUUAAAAAAGUGUCUGACCAAAGCUGUAGUUUGAACAGAAUCAAACAAAGGUCUGGCUUCUCCCAGCUGGAGAUCCCUUGGAACUGCUAGAUUGCUGCAACUUGACUAUGAACAAGGAGAAGCCAGUGUUUUCAUCAGAAAUGCUGGUGCUUUAGUGGAACAUCUAGUGGUACUAAAUCUUUUAUAGAAUCUUUAACUGUUGAUUUUGUCAUGAGCAGUGAUGUUAUGAAAGAUAUGAAUACAUGUGGCUACUCAAAAAUACACACACCAAAAAAAAAAAAACCCUCAACAAUUAGUGACCCAAGCUCUGAUUAUUAGCCCGUUUCUAUAACAUGACAUCACAGCAAAUUUUAGAUCGAACAGAUGGAGAUGAUGCCACUGCAAGGACCAAUAACAUCACAAGAAGCAGAAUCGCAGUAGUGAUGUCACAGUAAGCAGUAGUGAUGUCACAGUAAGCAGUAGUGCCAAAUGCCAGAAUGUUCUAGGAUCACAUCUGCGUUAGUGUUGGUGAUGUCACACUACAUAGGUAUGA